Molecule: long non-coding RNA, 447 nt
Organism: Herpailurus yagouaroundi (jaguarundi)
Lineage: Eukaryota; Metazoa; Chordata; Mammalia; Carnivora; Felidae
Exons: 2
Source: RefSeq, a predicted model, not a curated record
GCGAGUGCAGUACGUGCGCGCCGGUUCCUCCUCCGGCCUCCGCCGGGAAACGUUAGGGAGGAGGUUUUCAGACCGCUCACCCCUCACUCCUCGAGCGCGAAACGGGGUGGGAAAAGUGAAAUUGGGGUCAGGGUUUCUGCCUGGCGAGAAAGAAGGCGUCUGCAUAGGGUCAUUUUGAGCAUGUUUUGUGCGCAGUCAUGCAAAGUUACAGGCCGGUCCCUUCCGCCUGGGGAAUGGCCUGUCUCCGCUGAGUGAAAAUGCCGUAUUUAUCCGUUAAUCAGAAACGCAUCGAGCAGAGCAUCUACCUAUCUACUUGAGGCUCUCAAUCUACUUCAGCCCCAGCAUGCAAAUACUAAAGAAGAAACAAUAAUGCUCUUCUCCCAAAGCUCCUAAUUGCACUGGUCUUGAACCUCCAGCUGUACUGAAGUUCAUUUGUGCCUUUCUGAG